Molecule: transfer RNA, 77 nt
Filed under: Caudoviricetes sp.
Lineage: Duplodnaviria; Heunggongvirae; Uroviricota; Caudoviricetes
Description: tRNA-Asn
Rfam family: tRNA
About the family: Transfer RNA (tRNA) molecules are approximately 80 nucleotides in length. Their secondary structure includes four short double-helical elements and three loops (D, anti-codon, and T loops).
Source: RNAcentral
GGGAGUAUAGCUCAGUUGGUUAGAGUGCAUGACUGUUAAUCAUGAUGUCGAAGGUUCAAGUCCUUCUACUCCCGCCA